Molecule: small nuclear RNA, 107 nt
Filed under: Prolemur simus (greater bamboo lemur)
Lineage: Eukaryota; Metazoa; Chordata; Mammalia; Primates; Lemuridae
Source: RNAcentral
AUGCUCGCUUUGGGAGCACAUAUACUAAAAUUGGAACGAUACAGAGAAGAUGAGCAUGGCCCCUGCACAAGGAUGACAUGUAAAUUUUUUAAAUUAAAAAAAAAAAA